CUCUGAUGGAUCUUGAUCUCUGAGCCUUUUCUCCAAGGUGGGCUGGGCCUCACCUGUUUGAGUCCCAUUCCUUCCUAUUCCUUUCUUGGCAACUCGCUGUACCAGAGCAGAACGGUGUCCCCAAGCCAGGGCGCCUGGUCUUGUCGACUGUGCCAAGAGCGGGCUAUACCUGUGGGAUGCAAUGGGCCCACCAGCCCUCUGAGUGUCCAAGGGAGGCCUUGGGUGGUCAGAGCCUCUGGCCUGACCACCUCUGAUCCCAAGCAGACCUCUUUAUUUACCCCAGCCUGCCGUACACAAAGGAUCCCUUCCUGUAGGCCGUGAGCCUUGUCUGUGGCGCAGGUUGGGGAUGGCCUAAGCAGUGGCUUUUUCCCUGGGUGAAGGCAGAAUGAGAUCUGGAGACCGGAACUCCUCUAGAGGACCAUACCUUGCCUACUCUGACUUUUCACAGCCCCAAGCAUGUUGUACAACUUUCUCUUCUGUACCAGGUAUGGGAAGGUGAUGGCUCCUGGGCAUCCGGAGAGCAAGAAGGGGCCCCUCCUCUUCAUCCUGGGUUGGUGUGUCAGUGUGCACCCCACCUCUGGGACUCUUUGGCAAAGCCCUCGAUGUCUCUGAGGCUGGGGGGUAUCGGUUGAAGAAUGGACACUCAGAAGUCUAUCCCAGACAAGACUGGCUUCAGGUGACAUGGCGGUUGCUGGGCAGGAAAUUCAGAACAAAAGACCUCUGGACAAUAGCUCCAUUGCCAAGCCGCUCAGGCCGCAGGUAUUUCUCAG
This is a non-coding RNA of Sus scrofa (pig), 770 nucleotides long. The record is from RefSeq and is a predicted model, not a curated record. NCBI's taxonomy places the organism in Eukaryota, Metazoa, Chordata, Mammalia, Artiodactyla, Suidae.